RNAcentral lists this ribosomal RNA (495 nucleotides) under uncultured bacterium. RNAcentral describes it as "partial 16S ribosomal RNA". It matches the Rfam family "Bacterial small subunit ribosomal RNA", at positions 30 to 507 of the family's 1533-position model. The record is from RNAcentral.
UGAACGCUGGCGGCGUGCCUAAUACAUGCAAGUCGAGCGAACAGACGAGGAGCUUGCUCCUCUGACGUUAGCGGCGGACGGGUGAGUAACACGUGGAUAACCUACCUAUAAGACUGGGAUAACUUCGGGAAACCGGAGCUAAUACCGGAUAAUAUAUUGAACCGCAUGGUUCAAUAGUGAAAGACGGUUUUGCUGUCACUUAUAGAUGGAUCCGCGCCGCAUUAGCUAGUUGGUAAGGUAACGGCUUACCAAGGCAACGAUGCGUAGCCGACCUGGGGGGGUGAUCGGCCACACUGGAACUGAGACACGGUCCAGACUCCUACGGGAGGCAGCAGUAGGGAAUCUUCCGCAAUGGGCGAAAGCCUGACGGAGCAACGCCGCGUGAGUGAUGAAGGUCUUCGGAUCGUAAAACUCUGUUAUUAGGGAAGAACAAAUGUGUAAGUAACUAUGCACGUCUUGACGGUACCUAAUCAGAAAGCCACGGCUAACUACGUG